RNAcentral lists this long non-coding RNA (795 nucleotides) under Phasianus colchicus (ring-necked pheasant). RNAcentral describes it as "lncRNA (ENSPCLG00000020237.1)". The record is from RNAcentral. Lineage: Eukaryota; Metazoa; Chordata; Aves; Galliformes; Phasianidae.
ACUGCUUCCUGACAGGGAGUGCUGCAUAGCUAGAGAGCUCCUUCAGUGUUUCAGUGAGUUCAGCUGUUCUUGCUGUAUAUGACUAUUGACCUACCUGUGAAUACUUUGCCUGGUAUUGCUAAGAACCUGUCAGAAGGAAUUUUGCAUCUUCAUGAGAAGAACAGCUGAUGUGCCAAGAGAGGGGAAGAAGUCUCAUCUUGAUACAUUGUGGAAAACAACAACAACAACAAAACCCACAACAAAUAUUCCAGAAUUUCCUGAUGCUACCUGAUCUUCAAGUAUCUUCUUUGACAAGCUGUAUUUUUCAACAAGACAAAGCACAUGAAGGGAGAAAUGCAUUCAGAAUCUUCAAUUUCAUGAUAUCAAGGAAAAAUGGAAAACUCAUUGUGACCUUACUUAUUCUUCAUGACUUUAUAAGUUACAAAAUAUUAAAGUUCUACCUCUGUCCUGCUUGGAAUAUUAUAAGCCAGUUCUUCGGCUUGGCAUAAGCAGUACUUGUUGUCAAGGAGCAUACUUGCUUGCAGAGAAUGCUUGUUUACUACUUGAUUUGCUCAGGCACUUUGCUUUUUACCUCCUCUCUCCUUUCAGCAGCUGCAAAAUAUACUUGAGAAUAACUAUGUUGCUCGCAAGCCACAUGGUAUGCACUGUAUUCUUGGCAGAAUACCUCCCAUGUACUUGAUCACUGUGGAAUCUCCCUUGCCCCUUAUUCUGCACCAUGAACAGAAGAUAAUCUAGAUAAUCUACCAUGUAACUGGAUAUAGGGGGGGAAAUAAAAAAAAAAACAACAAAAAAACA